RNAcentral lists this ribosomal RNA (402 nucleotides) under Triticum aestivum (bread wheat). Its description in RNAcentral is "partial small subunit ribosomal RNA". The record is from RNAcentral. Lineage: Eukaryota; Viridiplantae; Streptophyta; Magnoliopsida; Poales; Poaceae.
CUCAAGCAGGCGCCCCGCGCAUGGUACCAGCGGUUCGCUCAUCACGCUCAUCGACUGGGCUUUGUGGCUUCUCAGAUCGACGUGUCCCUGUUCGUGCUCCGGCACGGCUCUGAGAUGGCCUACCUGCUCCUCUACGUGGACGACAUCAUCCUCACCGCGUCCAGCGCCGCGCUUCUCCAGCACAUCACUGACCAGCUUCAUCGGGAGUUCUCCAUGACCGAUCUCGGGGACCUGACUUACUUCCUCGGGAUCUCGGUCUCUCGGUCUUCUUCCGGGAUGCUUCUCUCGCAGCGGCAGUAUGUCAUCGACCUUCUUCAGCGCGCUGGCAUGAUGGACGGCAACCCGUGUGUCACGCCCAUUGACACCCGUUGCAAGCUCUCCGCCGACGAGGGUCCUCUUGUC